This 1188-nucleotide long non-coding RNA is filed under the name Oryza sativa (Asian cultivated rice). RNAcentral's name for it is "long non-coding RNA (OSAT_LNC000829)". The record is from RNAcentral. Lineage: Eukaryota; Viridiplantae; Streptophyta; Magnoliopsida; Poales; Poaceae.
GGACACACCAAAACUGCCGGCCAUAGCCCAUAUUCCCACAAGAAGAUGGCGAUCCCGGUUUACAGCAUCACAAGGGCAGAGAUCGAGGAGUUCUGGAGGAGAAAGGAGAUGGAAGAAGAGGAGCAGCGCCUCACCGCCGAGAAGGAAGCUGCAAGAAUCAAAGCCAAGACACUUAUGGUCAGUUCUUCUUCUUAUUGAUCAAUCGUAAUUUGUUGUAUUACCAAUCACUAUCUCGUCCUCUGAUCUCCUUUACCAGCUCAGGUUCAGUAUGGUUCUUAGUCAAAAAAAAGUUCAGUAUGGUAUUUAGCAUAGCAGAUAAAUCGACGCAUGUAAGGCAAUAAAAAUCUGCGAUGCAGAUACAGGCCAAAUUAUCCUACCAUGAAUUUGGAGUUCAAAAAUACUGUGACUUGUGGUGUCUGAAUUGUUUGAAAAGCAGAUUGAAGAUUAUGCGAUCUUCGAGCAAAUGAUAAGGGAGAUUCUUGAGGAGGGUAUCAAAGGUGACAGCGCAAGGGCGGAGAGAGACAUCACCACGAACGGCGCCGCUGCCACCAAGAGCACUGAGGGAAGGAUUGGCAUCAAAGAUUGGUAACCGUUCUUUCUGCAAAUUUCCUAGAGUUAUGCUAUCCGUUCUUUCUGCAAAUUUCCUGAAGUUGAUAUAGCAGAGUGCGUCCCUUUCUAAAUAGUGCGUUUCCACAUCCUCUUUGGAAGUUGGAUAAUGGUCCAAUGUGGAAAACAAUCUGUAUCCCACUUUCCAUCCAUUUCCACGGUUGGAUUUCCUGUUACAAUUCUAUAGUGGAAUUUAUAGUCAAGAAGAAUUAUAUGGAUGUGAGAAUUAAGAACCUAACAAGCUCAACGUGUAGUUAGUCAAAAUAAGAAGCAACGCGUUAAGAUUUUUUUGUAACAGUUCUAAGGAUCAAGACGGCUAUUUUCGUGUGCAUGUGCAAUCGCUUAAAAUUCUGGUGCAAUUACGACCUUAGCAUCCUAUCAGAAGUAAUCUUAAUUACUUAGUCUUCAAAAAAGAAUUAAUUAAAUAGCUGUGGAUAUGACUGACCACCAUCUUGCCUCCCUGGGUGCAGGUGGAGAAAAAGCACUUAUGCUUAUCUGAAUGAACCAGCAAUGACAUCCACGGAUGAGAACGGCAGAAGGAAGCACGCCAUCAAAUACAUCCCACAGGAGAGAUGCAUGAAC